Molecule: small RNA, 52 nt
Filed under: Maritalea mobilis
Lineage: Bacteria; Pseudomonadati; Pseudomonadota; Alphaproteobacteria; Hyphomicrobiales; Devosiaceae
Description: ffh sRNA
Rfam family: ffh sRNA
Source: RNAcentral
GAUUUUGGGGGUCAACAUCCAUCAGCGCGUUGCGCCCAUGGAUGCUCUUUUU